UUGAACGCUGGCGGCAUGCUUUACACAUGCAAGUCGAACGGGUGUAGCAAUACACUAGUGGCGAACGGGUGAGUAAUGCAUCGGAACGUACCGUGUAGUGGGGGAUAACCCGGCGAAAGUCGGAUUAAUACCGCAUGAGAUCUACGGAUGAAAGCAGGGGAUCGUAAGACCUUGCGCUAUAUGAGCGGCCGAUGUCGGAUUAGCUAGUUGGUGGGGUAAAGGCCCACCAAGGCGACGAUCCGUAGCGGGUCUGAGAGGAUGAUCCGCCACACUGGGACUGAGACACGGCCCAGACUCCUACGGGAGGCAGCAGUGGGGAAUUUUGGACAAUGGGCGCAAGCCUGAUCCAGCCAUGCCGCGUGAGUGAAGAAGGCCUUCGGGUUGUAAAGCUCUUUUGUCCGGGAGCAAACCUUCGUGGUUAAUACCUACGGAGCUGAGAGUACCGGAAGAAUAAGCACCGGCUAACUACGU
Molecule: ribosomal RNA, 471 nt
Filed under: uncultured bacterium
Lineage: Bacteria
Description: bacterial SSU rRNA
Rfam family: Bacterial small subunit ribosomal RNA
Source: RNAcentral